RNAcentral lists this ribosomal RNA (431 nucleotides) under uncultured bacterium. RNAcentral's name for it is "partial 16S ribosomal RNA". It matches the Rfam family "Bacterial small subunit ribosomal RNA", at positions 29 to 505 of the family's 1533-position model. The record is from RNAcentral.
AGCGAACGCUGGCGGCAGGCUUAACACAUGCAAGUCGAACGCAUCCUUCGGGGUGAGUGGCAGACGGGUGAGUAACACGUGGGAACGUACCCUUCGAUCUGGGAUAACUUCGGGAAACUGGAGCUAAUACCGGAUACGCCCUUUUGGGGAAAGGUUUACUGUCGAAGGAUCGGCCCGCGUCUGAUUAGCUAGUUGGUGGGGUAACGGCCUACCAAGGCGACGAUCAGUAGCUGGUCUGAGAGGAUGAUCAGCCACACUGGGACUGAGACACGGCCCAGACUCCUACGGGAGGCAGCAGUGGGGAAUAUUGGACAAUGGGCGCAAGCCUGAUCCAGCCAUGCCGCGUGAGUGAUGAAGGCCUUAGGGUUGUAAAGCUCUUUUGUCCGGGACGAUAAUGACGGUACCGGAAGAAUAAGCCCCGGCUAACUUCG